UGAACGAUAGUUCCGCUACCGAAGACAGCAGGCACCGAAAGGUUUAAUUGCAUUGCAGCCAGCCGAGGUGGAGCGCAUGAUGAUAGUGCGACCCCCGUGUCUUCGACCGGGGGUCUUUUCUUUUCGUU
Regulatory RNA element from Slackia piriformis YIT 12062, 128 nucleotides. It matches the Rfam family "Ribosomal protein L10 leader". From Rfam's summary of the family: This family is a putative r-protein leader autoregulatory structure found in B. subtilis and other low-GC Gram-positive bacteria. It is located in the 5' untranslated regions of mRNAs encoding ribosomal proteins L10 and L12 (rplJ-rplL). Lineage: Bacteria; Bacillati; Actinomycetota; Coriobacteriia; Eggerthellales; Eggerthellaceae. The record is from Rfam.